CCUUACUGCUAUCGGGGGAGGACUAAAACAUGCAAGUCGUGCGCCUCCAAGCUAUGAUGGAGACGCGGCGUACAGCUCAGUAACACGUGGCUAACCCACCCUUGAGACGGAGACAACCCCGGGAAACUGGGGCUAAUCCCUGAUAGGAGAAGAUACCUGGAAGGGGUCUUCUCCCAAAAGGCGCUUAGAUCAUGCUUCUAGAUGUCGCCCAAGGAGGGGGCCGCGGCCGAUCAGGUUGUUGGUGAGGUAACGGCUCACCAAGCCUUUGACCGGUACGGGCCGUGAGAGCGGUAGCCCGGAGAUGGGUACUGAGACAAGGGCCCAGGCCCUACGGGGCGCAGCAGUCGCGAAAACUCACCAAUUCACGAAAGUGUGAGUGGGCCAUCCCGAGUGCCGUCCGCUGAGGAUGGCUUUUCCUUAGUGUACAAAGCUGGGGGAAUAAGGAGAGGGCAAGUCUGGUGUCAGCCGCCGCGGUAAUACCAGCUCUCCGAGUGGUGGGGACGAUUAUUGGGCUUAAAGCGUUCGUAGCCGGCUUAACAAGUCUUCCGUUAAAUCCAACGAUCUAAUCGUUGGGCUGCGGGAGAUACUGUUGGGCUAGGAGGCGGGAGAAGCCGACGGUAUUCUCGGGGUAGGGGUGAAAUCCUGUAAUCCCGGGAGGACCACCAGUGGCGAAGGCGGUCGGCUAGAACGCGCUCGACGGUGAGGGACGAAAGCUGAGGGAGCGAACCGGAUUAGAAACCCGGGUAGUCCCAGCUGUAAACGAUGCGGGCUAGGUGUUGGGGUGGCCACGAGCCACUUCAGUGCCGCAUGGAAGCAAUUAAGCCCGCCGCCUGGGGAGUACGGCCGCAAGGCUGAAACUUAAAGGAAUUGGCGGGGGAGCACCACAAGGCGUGAAGCUUGCGGUUU
RNAcentral lists this ribosomal RNA (906 nucleotides) under uncultured crenarchaeote. Its description in RNAcentral is "bacterial SSU rRNA". It matches the Rfam family "Archaeal small subunit ribosomal RNA", at positions 21 to 903 of the family's 1478-position model. The record is from RNAcentral. Lineage: Archaea; Thermoproteati; Thermoproteota.